RNAcentral lists this ribosomal RNA (403 nucleotides) under bacterium. RNAcentral describes it as "partial 16S ribosomal RNA". It matches the Rfam family "Bacterial small subunit ribosomal RNA", at positions 355 to 776 of the family's 1533-position model. The record is from RNAcentral.
UGGGGAAUAUUGCACAAUGGGGGAAACCCUGAUGCAGCGAUGCCGCGUGAACGAAGAAGGUAUUCGUAUCGUAAAGUUCUGUCCUAUGGGAAGAUAAUGACAGUACCAUAGAAGAAAGCUCCGGCUAAAUACGUGCCAGCAGCCGCGGUAAUACGUAUGGAGCGAGCGUUGUCCGGAAUUAUUGGGCGUAAAGGGUACGCAGGCUGUUUAAUAAGUCGAAUGUUAAAGAUCGGGGCUCAACCCCGCAAAGCAUUGGAAACUGAUAAACUUGAGUAGUGGAGAGGAAAGUGGAAUUCCUAGUGUAGUGGUGAAAUACGUAGAUAUUAGGAGGAAUACCAGUAGCGAAGGCGACUUUCUGGACACAAACUGACGCUGAGGUACGAAAGCGUGGGGAGCAAACAGG